This 411-nucleotide ribosomal RNA is filed under the name Actinomycetes bacterium. RNAcentral's name for it is "Actinobacteria bacterium partial 16S ribosomal RNA". It matches the Rfam family "Bacterial small subunit ribosomal RNA", at positions 355 to 776 of the family's 1533-position model. Lineage: Bacteria; Bacillati; Actinomycetota; Actinomycetes. The record is from RNAcentral.
UGGGGAAUAUUGCACAAUGGGCGCAAGCCUGAUGCAGCGACGCCGCGUGGGGGAUGACGGCCUUCGGGUUGUAAACUCCUUUCGCUAGGGACGAAGCUGUUUGUGACGGUACCUAGAUAAGAAGCACCGGCUAACUACGUGCCAGCAGCCGCGGUAAUACGUAGGGUGCGAGCGUUGUCCGGAAUUACUGGGCGUAAAGGGCUCGUAGGUGGUUUGUCGCGUCGUCUGUGAAAUUCCGGGGCUUAACUCCGGGCGUGCAGGCGAUACGGGCAUAACUUGAGUACUGUAGGGGUAACUGGAAUUCCUGGUGUAGCAGGGAAAUGCGCAGAUAUCAGGAGGAACACCGAUGGCGAAGGCAGGUUACUGGGCAGUUACUGACGCUGAGGAGCGAAAGCAAGGGUAGCGAACAGG